GAAUUGUGAUCUCAUACAACAUGUGUCAUACUUUUAAUUAAAUUAAAUUAAGUUAAAUUAAAUUAAUGAAAGGUAUGAUACUUUUGUAUACAUUGGGGAGUCGUUAAGAUUCUAUCAGUGAGUAUUUGUUCUCGGAAGGGCCAUAUAUGAAUAUUAAAUAAUCGGACAUAGUACGAUAAGGUUGUAUGUCUAAAGGGAAACAGCCCAGAACAAGAGUUAAUAAGGUUCCAAAAUUAUUGUUAAGUGAAAUUAAUGUAGUAUUUAUCCCAAACGCCCAGGAAAUAGGCUUAGAAGCGGCCACUUUUUGAAGAUCUCGUAAAAGAGCACUGGUUUUACUUACAAAGUCAUAUUGUAUAAAAACAAGGAUAAAAGCACUAAUAAUUUAACGGAUCUAAACAAUAUACCGAUACCUUGUCUAUACAUAUUGAUAUAUGUUAUACAUAUAUCAAUAUGUAUGGGGUAGCAGAACGUUGGGUAAAUUACUCAGCUCUAGGUCUCUUUGAGAUACUAGAGCAUAUAAAUUAUAACCGGAUUAUGUGAAUUAUAACCGGAUUAUAUUAUAUUAUAAAAUCCCAAGUGAUAAUGCUGACAUGAGUAACGAUAAAGGGAGAAAGCAGAUGCUAAUGCGGUAUCCCUUCGCCUUAAGCUUAUGGUAUUUAUUAAAGUCACGGCCUCUAAGUUUUACCAUAUCUUAUUAUUACUAAGUAAGAAUAGACAUUAUAUCUAUGAAUGAAUAUGUUAGUUAAUUAAUAGAUAAAAAAAAAGAUGUCUAUUGAUAGAUAAAAAAUGUCUAUUAAUAGAUAAAAAAAAAUGUCUAUUGAUUAAUUAGCAAAUACUAAAAAUAUAUUGAAAAGGGUAUACAUAGAAAAAAUGAACUAUAAUAAGAUACUCAAAAUAUAUUGAAAUGAACUAUAAUAAGAUACUCAAAAUAUAUUGAAAUGGGUAUACAUAGAUAAAAUGAACUAUAAUAAGAUAAUCCAAAAGGUAUGAACGAUGAGCAAAUCUAUAGUAUACAGAAAACGACAUAUUAAAUAUAUAAACUAAUUAUAAUAAAUUUUAUUUGUUGAUACAUAAAGUUAUAAUUAACAUUAUAAAGUAACAGUUAAAUAUGUUCUGGAAAACUGUAAACAAGUGAUAUGAGCAAUUUCUUAUGGCAUAAACAAACUAUAUAGAUGAUAUAGUUCAUAUUGUUAAAUAAUAUGUGUCGCUCUAGCACUACUCAUUACCGUACCUAAAUACUACCACAAGUAAGCAAG
This 1256-nucleotide ribosomal RNA is filed under the name Psora icterica. RNAcentral describes it as "partial large subunit ribosomal RNA". The stretch from base 36 to 462 matches the Rfam family "Bacterial large subunit ribosomal RNA", at positions 863 to 1230 of the family's 2925-position model. Lineage: Eukaryota; Fungi; Ascomycota; Lecanoromycetes; Lecanorales; Psoraceae. The record is from RNAcentral.